This is a long non-coding RNA of Anarrhichthys ocellatus (wolf-eel), 1807 nucleotides long. RefSeq lists it as uncharacterized. NCBI's taxonomy places the organism in Eukaryota, Metazoa, Chordata, Actinopteri, Perciformes, Anarhichadidae. The record is from RefSeq and is a predicted model, not a curated record. The transcript is spliced from 4 exons.
CAUUUCCAGGUUGAGGGCAGAGUCGACGGCUUCAUUGGUGGGCCCAUCAGAGGUGGUUCUAUUGGGUCCAGAGCCACAGCUUGAGACACUCUGGGUUGAAGAUCUUUCAGACCGGCACAGGAACAUUUCCAUUUCAAAACGAAGACGCGCUGCCAUCUGAUGUUUGUGUCAAUGAGCAAGGCCAGCCUCCAUCUUCACAGCACCAGGUGGAGCCCUUGAAGAAACCUACCGGUGCAGGUUAAGAGGCGGAGGCUGAGCGUGGACUUCUUCAGAUGGACUCGGGGAAACCACCAGCAUUCUUUUACAAAAGACACAAUAUGGACGAAUAAACCUCAGGACUGCCAAAGCGCCGCUUUACCUCCCGCCCGUCCUCUCCUCUUCCUCUGAUCCAAUCAGAGAGAACAACCUCUCCUGCUUUCUACCUCCCAGACAAAUAGAGAAGGAAAAAAAAAAAAGAAAGAAGUGAAAGCAUUUUAUUAUUUGUUAUCUUUUUUUUUUUCUUCUCUCCGCGCAACAUUUCUCCAUUUACCUCAGGGAUUUUCUCUCCCACUGCCUACCUCCUCCACCGAAACAGCCGACCCCAGUGACUGGAACACCCGGCAGAAAACUCACCUGUGACCUCUCGCUGCUGUUACCAUGACAACCUGUAUUGCCUCUCGAGCUCUUCUCACUGCAGCCGUGACUAUCAGCAACGACCUCGGACCUCUCGCCACCCGCCAGCUCAGACCUGCUCGCUGCCUCCAUUGUACUGAUCCAUACUUGUAGCCUGGGUUGGUUAUUGCUGGACGGGGGGAAAAAUUAAAUAACGGUUGGGUGCUAGUUGCCAGAAAGCCAGCGCCGCACUCACAACAGCCUCACCCUAUCUCUACGAUACACCCGGCAGGAAACUAUAUACCUCAGCGACACACUCACUCAAGGAAACCGAAGGAAACCUUUUUAGCAACAGCAUUCAAUAUCCUGGUGCUUGAACCCAUUCCGGCAGGUAACGCACGCUCACAAGCCCCGGUGCUUCAAUCUACCCGGUAGACGACACUCCUUCAGCAUCUUCCAUUCGCCUCAGAGGCGGGAGUAUAGCAACAGUAGCCAGGGAGGCCUCCAGAGAAGCAGGGAGAGAGAGAGAGAGAGUGACUCAAGAGCGCUGCCCCGGCAGUCAACUUCAUUAAAUUUGUUUCCCCAUCAGAGUCGCAUCAUACACAAGCCUCUUGAUCCAAGAGCUAGCAUACAUCAGCAAUCGCCCAAGAAGCCUUUCGGGGAGAUCACAGCAGAGCCUCAGAAGUCCCCCCCCCCCCCCCCCUUUUUGCCUCGAGUGUCACCCACAUAAAGCCUCCAGAGAAGUCAUCCACCCACAGAGCAGGAGAAGUUCCUGAGGGGGCCUCAACAGCAAAGGAAGUAAAGGCUAAAGAACUCUCUGGCAGAUAGAUAUCAGAGCAUUGUGAACCGUAGAAAGUUAGAAGAGCCAAAUUCCGAGAACCGUAUUGUGUGACAGCGGAGAGGGAAAGGAGGGAGACGGCGUUCAGAGUACGGAGAAGGAUGCAGCGCUCGCUUAUGCUUCCACUGAUGUCCCGCCCACCGUGUUCCUCUCAGCCAACCGCUGCCCAGAUUCUCCGAUGGCUGUCUGUUGAAGGGGCCGCCGGCGAAUGCUGAGCAAGCUGGCGAGGUCGAGGUCCGCCUCAUUGUCCUGUGAUUGGCUGCCGGACGGGACUGAGGCUACAUGGAGCCAAUGUCCAACAAGCAGGAUAGCAACUCAUCAGAGGGAGACGAGAAAGGGUGAGACUGUGUGUGUGUGUGUGUGUGUGUGUGUGUGUGU